Long non-coding RNA from Tympanuchus pallidicinctus (lesser prairie-chicken), 639 nucleotides. RefSeq lists it as uncharacterized. The transcript has 3 exons. The record is from RefSeq and is a predicted model, not a curated record. Lineage: Eukaryota; Metazoa; Chordata; Aves; Galliformes; Phasianidae.
UCAGGCUUUGAAUAGUCCCAUAGGAGAUUUCACAGAUGGAGAUUCCAGUGUUACUUAGAAGCCCUGCUAGUACUGCCCUUAGGUUGGUACCUGGAUAUUUCAUGAGCCUACACUUUCUGACACAAGUUCCUCAAAUUCUCAUGAUUCCCAGCUCACAUCUGGAGAUCUCAAUACAAAGCAGCAGGGAGGAGAGAUCAGUCAAGUAGGAGAUGAGAAGAUGACUGUAGUAGCACCUGUAUCCCAUCAGAUGAAGAGCAAAUGUGAUUGACAGUAGAAACCUCAUGAGGGAAUGGAGAGGAAAAGCUUGAGGAUGCCUUUCCCCUGGUAUUUUGCCUCAGUUUCCAGUGGAAACUCAGAUUUUGUGUGUUAGAAAAAGCAUAUGUUCAGUACAGCUUAGCAGCUGUAGUAAAACAUUUCUUCCACUGAACAUCCCAUUUAUUUAGAGCCCAGGCCUGAUUUUGUUUUCUUGGAAAAAAAAAAACAUUACCUUUUUCUUCAGACAAAGAGACUAAUACCUUUGAUAUUGAUAUGAUAUCUGUGAAUGUCCUUCUCUUUUUGUUCGUUAGUACUAUCGCUUCCUCUUUGAGAUAAAGGGACUGCUAGAUACCAUAAUGAAGAUUCUCCAGAUUCUUUCUUUCA